This 105-nucleotide small nuclear RNA is filed under the name Danaus plexippus plexippus. Lineage: Eukaryota; Metazoa; Arthropoda; Insecta; Lepidoptera; Nymphalidae. The record is from RNAcentral.
UAAGUAUUAGGUGAAUUAUGGAGAAUUGGAACGAUUUAGAGAAGAUUAGCGUGUGUGGCUUUUCGCAAGGAUGACACGAAAAAUCUUGAAACGUUGGUCAUUUUU